AAGAGCCAGAAGCGUCGCUGCCUAUGUCGGGAUAAGGAUACUCAAGCAGAGAGUCCACAAAGCCUUGCGGGCCCCCGUAGAUCUCUCAGCAUCUCGCGAGAUCUGAUUCACCUGUGUGGUUUACUGAGCUCGCAGGGCUUCUGGCCGGGAUGCUUGUUUGUCUGCGUCACCUCCCACUCAGAGCGUUCCAGACUGUGCCCUCCUGGCUGCUGUCAGGACCUGUCAGCCUUACCAGUAGAAACCUGUGCUUUUUCUCAAGGUCAUAUAGCUCUGUAUCGGAUAGCAACAGAGCUUCAGCAAUAAGAGCAGAUGCCAUCUUAGAUUAAUGAAACUCUUCAAAAGCAGGCCAUCAAUCACUGAACAUGUGCAUGAAGAAAUGACCUUCGUGUCUAUUUCUUGUUCUAAAUAAUUUUUCUUUCCUUGUACAAAUUCUUCAAGGUAGUAUAAUUUUUUUCAGCUUCUUGUUCCAUGUUUUUGCUGCGAUAUUGUAAUUGAAUA
Hyaena hyaena (striped hyena) is the source of this 498-nucleotide long non-coding RNA. RefSeq lists it as uncharacterized. The record is from RefSeq and is a predicted model, not a curated record. NCBI's taxonomy places the organism in Eukaryota, Metazoa, Chordata, Mammalia, Carnivora, Hyaenidae. The transcript is spliced from 3 exons.